This 253-nucleotide ribosomal RNA is filed under the name uncultured microorganism. Its description in RNAcentral is "partial 16S ribosomal RNA". It matches the Rfam family "Bacterial small subunit ribosomal RNA", at positions 524 to 776 of the family's 1533-position model. The record is from RNAcentral.
UACGGAGGGUGCGAGCGUUAUUCGGAAUUACUGGGCGUAAAGCGUACGUAGGCGGCUUGUUAAGCCAGAUGUGAAAUCCCCGGGCUCAACCUGGGAAUGGCAUUUUGAACUGGCAGGCUCGAGUUCUGAAGAGGGGGGUAGAAUUUCCAGUGUAGCGGUGAAAUGCGUAGAUAUUGGAAGGAAUACCGGUGGCGAAGGCGGCCACCUGGUCAGAAACUGACGCUGAGGUACGAAAGCGUGGGGAGCAAACAGG